UCAAGCUACAAAGAGCGCAAGGGGAAUGCCUUGGCACUGGGAGCCGACGAAGGACGUAGCGAUCUACGAUAAGCCACGGUGAGCCGAAAGCAGGCAUCGACCCGUGGAUUUCCGAAUGGGGCAACCUGGCUGAAUAGAACUCAGUCAACAUACGGUGAAUAAAAUAGUCGUAUGUAGGGAACCGCCUGAACUGAAACAUCUAAGUAGGGCGAGGAAAAGAAAUCAACCGAGAUUCCGCAAGUAGUGGCGAGCGAACGCGGAAGAGGCCAAACCGAGAGUAGUAAUACUUUCGGGGUUCGGACAGCGGACGGUAUGCUGAAGGUUAGCAGAAGGACAUGGGACGGUCCACCAAAGAGAGUGAAAGUCUCGUAUGCGAAAACUGAAAGCAGCCAGCUGAAUCCAGAGUACCGCCGGACACGUGAAACCCGGUGGGAAUAUGGGGGGACCAUCCUCCAAGCCUAAAUACUACCCAGUGACCGAUAGCGUAUAGUACUGUGAAGGAAAGGUGAAAAGAACCCCGGGAGGGGAGUGAAAAGAACCUGAAACCUUGUGCUUACAAGCACACAAAGCACGUCAACGUGUGAUGUGGUACCUUUUGUAGAAUGGUCCGGCGAGUGAAUGUAACUGGCGAGGUUAAGUUCUUAAGGAACGGAGCCGAAGCGAAAGCAAGUCUGAAUAGGGCGUCUUAGUCAGUUGUAUUCGACCCGAAACCGGGUGACCUAUCCAUGUCCAGGAUGAAGUUAAGGUAAAACUUGAUGGAGGUCCGAACCCACGGUCGUUGAAAUGCCCGGGGAUGAGAUGUGGAUAGCGGAGAAAUUCCAAUCGAACCCGGAUAUAGCUGGUUCUCUCCGAAAUAGCUUUAGGGCUAGCCUCGACUGAACAUUACCGGAGGUAGAGCACUGAAUGGGCUAGGGGCCGAGAGGUUACUGAACCCUAUCAAACUUCAAAUGCCGGAAAAUGAUAGUCGGGAGUCAGACUGCGUGAGAUAAGUUUCGUAGUCGAAAGGGAAACAGCCCAGACCCACAGCUAAGGUCCCAAAGUACGGUUAAGUGGAAAAGGAUGUGGAGUUGCACAGACAACCAGGAUGUUGGCUUAGAAGCAGCCACUCAUUAAAAGAGUGCGUAAUAGCUCACUGGUCGAGUGACUCUGCGCCGAAAAUUUAACGGGGCUAAAUCGUACACCGAAGCUUGGGAUGUAUCUAUGAUACAUGGUAGGAGAGCGUUGAAUGCGGGGUGAAGUCAGAGCGAAAGCGCUGGUGGACUGCAUUGAAGUGAGAAUGCCGGAAUGAGUAGCGAGAUUUAUGUGAGAAUCAUAAAGGCCGAAAGACUAAGGUUUCAGAAGGAAGGUUCGUCCGCUUCUGGUUAGCCGGGAGCUAAGGUGAGGCCGAAAGGCGUAGCCGAUGCACAUACGGUGGAGAUUCCGUAGCCGUCGAAAUAUUUAAGCAAAGGGACACUUAUGAAGGACAUGACCCGGGCGAUGGUAGCCCCGGGCGUAAGGGACUGAAAACAAGUAAGGAAGCAUGUUUGGAUUAAGGCGAGAAAAGCUUUGUGUAUAUAUGAGACGUCCGUACCGCAAACCGACACAGGUAGUCAGGAAGAGGAUUCUAAGGCCAACGGGAGAAGGGUAGUUAAGGAACUCGGCAAAUUGACCCCGUAACUUCGGGAUAAGGGGCGGUGCGUAAGCACCCGCAGUGAAUAGGUCCAGGCGACUGUUUAUCAAAAACACAGCUCUCUGCUAAAUCGAAAGAUGACGUAUAGGGGGUGACACCUGCCCGGUGCUGGAAGGUUAAGAGGAGGAGUGCAAGCUCCGAAUUGAAGCCCCAGUAAACGGCGGCCGUAACUAUAACGGUCCUAAGGUAGCGAAAUUCCUUGUCGGGU
Molecule: ribosomal RNA, 1877 nt
Filed under: human metagenome
Description: bacterial LSU rRNA
Rfam family: Bacterial large subunit ribosomal RNA
Source: RNAcentral